AUCCGGCUGACGAGACCCAAAAAGGACGAAACACGCGUCCUGGAU
This 45-nucleotide non-coding RNA is filed under the name Schistosoma margrebowiei. The record is from RNAcentral. Lineage: Eukaryota; Metazoa; Platyhelminthes; Trematoda; Strigeidida; Schistosomatidae.